UAAUACGAAGGGUGCAAGCGUUACUCGGAAUUACUGGGCGUAAAGCGUGCGUAGGUGGUCGUUUAAGUCUGUUGUGAAAGCCCUGGGCUCAACCUGGGAACUGCAGUGGAAACUGGACGACUAGAGUGUGGUAGAGGGUAGCGGAAUUCCUGGUGUAGCAGUGAAAUGCGUAGAGAUCAGGAGGAACAUCCAUGGCGAAGGCAGCUACCUGGACCAACACUGACACUGAGGCACGAAAGCGUGGGGAGCAAACAGGAUUAGAUACCCUGGUAGUCCACGCCCUAAACGAUGCGAACUGGAUGUUGGGUGCAAUUUGGCACGCAGUAUCGAAGCUAACGCGUUAAGUUCGCCGCCUGGGGAGUACGGUCGCAAGACUGAAACUUAAAUGAAUUGACGG
This 397-nucleotide ribosomal RNA is filed under the name uncultured bacterium. Its description in RNAcentral is "bacterial SSU rRNA". It matches the Rfam family "Bacterial small subunit ribosomal RNA", at positions 521 to 916 of the family's 1533-position model. The record is from RNAcentral.